This 587-nucleotide ribosomal RNA is filed under the name uncultured bacterium. Its description in RNAcentral is "partial 16S ribosomal RNA". It matches the Rfam family "Bacterial small subunit ribosomal RNA", at positions 355 to 1375 of the family's 1533-position model. The record is from RNAcentral.
UGGGGAAUUUUGGACAAUGGGCGAAAGCCUGAUCCAGCAAUGCCGCGUGUGUGAAGAAGGCCUUCGGGUUGUAAAGCACUUUUGUCCGGAAAGAAAUCCUUGGCUCUAAUACAGUCGGGGGAUGACGGUACCGGAAGAAUAAGCACCGGCUAACUACGUGCCAGCAGCCGCGGUAAUACGUAGGGUGCAAGCGUUAAUCGGAAUUACUGGGCGUAAAGCGUGCGCAGGCGGUUUGCUAAGACCGAUGUGAAAUCCCCGGGCUCAACCUGGGAACUGCAUUGGUGACUGGCAGGCUAGAGUAUGGCAGAGGGGGGUAGAAUUCCACGUGUAGCAGUGAAAUGCGUAGAGAUGUGGAGGAAUACCGAUGGCGAAGGCAGCCCCCUGGGCCAAAUACUGACGCUCAUGCACGAAAGCGUGGGGAGCAAACAGGAUUAGAUACCCUGGUAGUCCACGCCCUAAAACGAUGCCAACUAGUUGUUGGGGAUUCAUUUCCUUAGUAACGUAGCUAACGCGUGAAGUUGACCGCCUGGGGAGUACGGUCGCAAGAUUAAAACUCAAAUGAAUUGACGGGGUCAUAGCUGUUUCCU